Pelodiscus sinensis (Chinese soft-shelled turtle) is the source of this 2923-nucleotide non-coding RNA. Lineage: Eukaryota; Metazoa; Chordata; Testudines; Trionychidae. The record is from RefSeq and is a predicted model, not a curated record.
UUGUUUAGUAUAAUCUACUUUGUUUUUCAGUUUUGAAGCAUUCUGAGACAAAUAUUCUGGAAGUUUCUGUAAAUUAAUAAAAAGGUCCAGUUUUAAUAUUCUUUCAUUGUUAGUUAAGCUUAACAGAGAAUUAACCUUACAAUGAAAUUUUAUAGUAACUUUCAUUUUUUAGUAGGUCUCUUGAGCAGACCUAGGAAAGUGCAUCUAAACCAAUAAAACCUGAUUCAAGAGCUUAUGGGCUUAUUUGCAUCCUGGCCAGAACAUCAAUCAAUAGCUUUCAUUUUGUUUAAAGGCCAGGGGCCAAAUUAGAGUUUGAAAAGUCCUUGUAAAACCUUUGGGUAAUUUUGAGAUUGAGUCUAAUGAAAGAUUAAUGAAUACAGGCAUCCAUUUCCAGCCCAUCUAUUUACAUAUGACUUCCACCUUCAGUCCUGCUGAGUGGCAAUCAAAGUGAAUCAGUUUGUUUCUGCAGAUAGUGCUGACUAGCUAAGAAUAGCUUGUACUGCCAUAGCAGCCAUUAUAAUUCUUUUCUAUGGGAUAUUAGGAGUCUGUAAAGUCAAAUGGGUCAAGGUCUGGCUGCAACGGGGGCCAUUAAAAUCUGGUUUUUUACCAUCUACCAGAAAAUUGACUGUAGUAUUGAAGUAUUUCCCAUUUUGAGUACAGGGAUUAUAGUUAAUAUCAUGUUGUAACAAACAUUCACAGGUAAUGGAUCCUCAAGCUGAAGUUUAGAUUAAAUUUCCGUAAUAAACAGAAGAGCUUGUUUGGAUACAUGAUUUUUCUUUCAGUGACCAUUGCAAGACUGAGCAAUAAAAAUAGGCCUCACAGAGUUUGUUUUAGUGAAAUGUGGGUGCUAAAAUAGUUAUGUUUAUGUAGCUUUAGCUUUUUAUCCAGUUAUUUGUUCAGUAAAGGAAAAAUAGGUUCAUUUCCAUUGCUGAUCCAUUCUUUACUUUUAUGAAACACUUUUAAAAAAAAGCCAGGAACAAUUCAAAGCACGCCCACUCCCCAGUUCUAUAGCAAGCCUGAAAGUUAGUCUGUUGCUCCCAUAUGCAAGGCAGGAAUGUCUUAGAAAGAUCUGGUUCUGUUUGCAAAAGAAUAGAGAUGUCUUUAUUUAAUGAAAGUCAUUAUACAUUCCUUCUUGCUAUAAGUAUACUAUGAAAUUUGUGUUUUGCAUACAUUAUGCAGCACUGAAGUUAACUUAGGCUUCAUGGAAGUUUGCCUAUCAGGGCACAUCUUCACUCACCACACCAGAGAUUGACAUACUGUCAUUUGAUUUAGUGGGUCUAGUACAGACCUAUAAAUCAAAUGCUGACGGCAGCGCCAGCCAGCAUCUGUACUACUUUCAGUUGCUAGGAGUAAGAGAAGCCAAUGAGAACAUGUUCUCUCCUCAACCACUUGUUGUGUAUUCUACAUAGAUGGAGUUGCGUACCUUAAGCCAAACUUCUAGGUCUAGUGUAGAUCUGGCCUCAGUUUCUUCCAAUAAAUUCUUUUGUGGGGUAGGUGAUAUUUUACAAGACACUGGCUACAGAAACCAGUGGGGAACUCUUGUUUGGGUUAUUGACCCCAGUAAUGUUGUUUUUUAAAUUUCCAAUAGCAUUUCAAUAAUAAAUAUUCCUUCUUCCGGAGUCAUUGUAUUUUUAAAAUGAUAAGUGUCACUAAGUGUCCAGAACAUAUGCUCCUCCCCUUCGAAAGUCUAAACAAAAAAAAUACAUGCCUAUUUUGUCCCCCGCACUUUCACCAAAGUGUUUAUAAGUGCAUCUAAAGUGUUAUGGGAUUAUUUGUUUUAUUUCAGGCUGGCUACCGAACAUGUAAUGCGUCUUGUUGUUAAUGGAAUGUUGUGAUUAAUGGAGGUGGUGAAUAAACUUUUCUGGACAUUCAAGCCAUUCAGUUAACUAAAGUAUUUUCUCAGUAGUUAAUUCUUGAGACCUAACCUUAAUCGUCUUGCCUGUAAGGGUUAAAACUAUUAAUAGUGGGUCCUAGAGAAUCGCCAAAAAUGCUAGGGAAGCAGGAAGUGAUUUGGCAGGAGGCCAGAAGAGCCAAUGGAAACAGAGUGUGAACAUUUUAAUUAGAAGCAGUGUCCCUUCCUGUUCCUGUUUGGCUAGAGCAGAGCCUCCUGGAAGGACUGGUGAGGAACCAUGCAUGGAGAAUCCAGUGACAUCCAUGCCUAAGGAAAGACUGAGUCUUGAAACUAGAGAUAGACCUGCAGCAAGAAAGAACACAGGAUGAACAUUUCAAAGAUUGUGGAGCUGCUGUCCCAGCAGAUAAUUUCCCUAGAUUCCCCAGGAGAAACUCAGGGGAAUAGUGCUGAAGAAUGACAUGGAAUAAGGUGAGAUGAAAGAUGGAAAGAAAAGACAGUCGAAUGGUAAGAAGAUGAGAAAGCAAGAGGACGGUUGAAGAGACAAAGAUCCAGUCCAUGGGCAGCUACAUGAGUUUAACUAUAGGUGUGAUAUUAAAUCACCACAAUCAUGUAUGGAUGCUUUUAAGUCAGUUUAAGAAUGGGGUAUGGUAGUUUAGAUUAAAUAAAUUUAAAAUAUUUAAUCUAACUUCGUUUUCGACCUUCUUAAAUUCAGGGGUGCUCCAAUUUAAGUAAACAAGUUUCUAAACCAAUUUAUUUAAAUCAGUGUACAACCUGCAUAUAGACAAGACUGAAGUUAAUCACAGUGCUGUUUUUAGUAAGGUAGAAUUCUUUCAUUAUUUAUUAUAUCAGUGGUGGGCAAAUACCAAUGCUUCUGCAAGUACAGGCAGUGCAGUUCCUGUUGGCCAUGGAUUGCAGUUCCUGGCCAAUGGGAGCUACUGGAAGUGGUUUCCCAGUCCAGACUGCUUCCUGCAGCUCCUGUUGGAUGGAAGCAAUGAUCUGUCUGUACCUGUGGAAGCACAGAUAAAUAUAGUGAGGGCUGCCCACCAGAAGCUAACCCUGGAGAAAUAUUAC